UGUUCAAGUACACAAAUUAUAAGCCAUUGAAAUACAAAGUGGGUAAAAACAACUAUUACAUCUCCCUUGUUUUUGUAAGUGACCAUUUCAAUGGUCAACAUCAGAUAACAAUACUGGCAGGUCCCUCAUUGGAUCCGACGGCAGAGAGUGAUGCCAUCACCAACAGGAAGCAUGCAAAUUUCAAUCCUGGGGUCAGCAGCAAGUGCCUUGUUGAGCUCCAAAACAAAGUCCCUGUAGUACCUCACAUACUUCCUCAUUGGUGCAUCAGGUGGAGCCACCACAGAUCCAUUCCACAGAGUGUUGUCGUACCCAAUCAGCCCACCAACUUUUACAAGCUCAAUCAACCUCUUGUGAUAAUUUAUAUAAUUGUCCUUGUCAGCAUCCACAAAGAUGAAAUCAAAACUUCCAUGGCACUUCCCCUGCGUUUUCCCAGACAGAAUAGUAAGAUUAGUAAUAGUCAUAUAAUUUAUAUAUCAAGUUAAAAAACGAGCAUCGUUUCUUUUUCUCAUACAAGUAGACAAAAAAGGAUGUUUUUCCCUCUUCCAUUUUCAUUUUUUGUCGAACAUAGAGUAUUUCUUACAUCUUCAAUCAUUUGAUCAAGAACUGGUAGAGCAGGGCCUUCCUUGAAAUCAAUCUUGUGCGCAACACCAGCUUUCUGAAUUACUGGGAGACCCAAUUCGUAGUUUUCUCUGUUGAUGUCCAUAGCCAAGAUCUGCAAGAAACAAAAUCCCAUUUAUUUUUUAUCAUCACAUGAAUUUAUUUAUUUAUUUAUACUUAAUAAAUUUUGAUUUGGGACCGAGACAUUUUAAGUUUUUAGUUUACCUUGCCAUCCUCAGGGAUAGCCAGGGCAGUGGCCAAGAGAGAAUAGCCAGUGUAAACACCGAUCUCCAUGGUGUUUUUGGCAUUGACAAGCUUCAAAAGCAUAUUCAAGAAUUGCCCUUCAUCAGCAGAUGUGGUCAUGAUGUUCCUGUUUCCCAUCAUUCACGUCAAAUUUAUUAACAUCACACCAUAAGCAUUAAUAUCAGACAAAAUCUCUUAUGUUUAUGUAUUUAAAUGUAUGUGAAAAUCAAGAAACAUACCAAGGAUGCUUGGCAGUCACCUCCCUGAGCUCCUUCAUGCAUUCAGGCUCUCUUGGAUACACACUAGUCUCGAGA
Molecule: long non-coding RNA, 1154 nt
Filed under: Populus trichocarpa (black cottonwood)
Lineage: Eukaryota; Viridiplantae; Streptophyta; Magnoliopsida; Malpighiales; Salicaceae
Description: long non-coding RNA (PTRI_LNC002337)
Source: RNAcentral